GGGCCUAUAGUUUAGUGGUAGAACAAUGCAUUUGCAAUGCAUAAACGGCAGUUCGAUUCUGCCUAGGUCCA
RNAcentral lists this transfer RNA (71 nucleotides) under Candidatus Terrybacteria bacterium RIFCSPHIGHO2_02_41_19. RNAcentral's name for it is "tRNA-Ala". It matches the Rfam family "tRNA". Rfam says of the family: Transfer RNA (tRNA) molecules are approximately 80 nucleotides in length. RNAcentral also lists the same sequence under 1 other name. The record is from RNAcentral. Lineage: Bacteria; Candidatus Terryibacteriota.